This 341-nucleotide ribosomal RNA is filed under the name uncultured Rhodoferax sp. RNAcentral describes it as "bacterial SSU rRNA". It matches the Rfam family "Bacterial small subunit ribosomal RNA", at positions 1054 to 1382 of the family's 1533-position model. The record is from RNAcentral. Lineage: Bacteria; Pseudomonadati; Pseudomonadota; Betaproteobacteria; Burkholderiales; Comamonadaceae.
GUCAGCUCGUGUCGUGAGAUUGGUUGGGUUAACGUCCCGCAACGAGCGCCAACCCUUUGUCAUUUAGUUGCUACAUUCAGGUUUGGGCACUACUAAUGAGACUGCCGGUGACAAGCCGGAGGAAGGGUGGGGAUGACGUCAAGUCCUCAUGGCCCUUAUAGGGUGGGGCUACACACGUCAUACAAUGGCUGGUAACGAAAGGGUUGCCCAACCCGCGAGGGGGGAGCUAAUCCCAUAAAGCCAGUCGUAGUCCGGAUCGUAGUCUGCAACUCGACUACGUGAAGUCGGAAUCGCUAGUAAUCGUGGAUCAGAAUGUUGCGGUGAAUACGUUCCCGGGUCUU